This 1707-nucleotide ribosomal RNA is filed under the name Triticum aestivum (bread wheat). Its description in RNAcentral is "partial small subunit ribosomal RNA". Lineage: Eukaryota; Viridiplantae; Streptophyta; Magnoliopsida; Poales; Poaceae. The record is from RNAcentral.
AUGACAUGGUUCCAGCAAAAAAUCAUGGCAGCCACCCGCCGUCGCCUCCCAUCACGGUCCUCGCUUGUUGCAGCAGAGUCAAAUGUUGGUUCCAGCAAAAAAACCUAUGCGGCAAAAAUCAUGACGGUACCGCCGUCAUCGACCAACACUAGCCUCUCCUAUUGCAGCAAAAGGGAAAGCGGGUUCCAGCAAAAAUCAAGCGGGUUUCAGCAAAAAUCAAAAGUGAUUCCAGCAAAACAACAACAAAAAGCAACUUACUGUGGCCACUGCCAUCACUGCCCACCACCAUCCUCGCCGCUUGAAGAAAAACCACUGGCCGGUUCAGCACUGCACCACAUCGGUCACAGCAUGUCCCCCGCGUCACCGCUUGUCCCAGCCUUUUUCGCUGCUGGACGCAACAGCUUUCACCGCGGGCCGGCCACUCCACUGCCUUAUAUCCACCGGUGCUGCUCGCCGCGCGCCAUGGGUGCAUCUCAUCGCCGGUGGUGUUUCUCUUGGCCAAAGAGGAAAAAGGGGUGUGGCGCAGGGCAUUGGCUCGGGCUGCUCGAUAGACUACACCGACCUGCGUCGAAGCUCAAGAUGGACUGCAAGGGGCUGGGACCGACCUUUGGGCGGCGUAGGCUGGAGCGUCGGGUGAUCAUUCACCUCGCGAUUCACGAGGAUCCAACGCAAGGGCCCUGGAUUGUGUCCAAGGGGUACACCUGGGUGAAGUACAUCGUCGACGACAAGCGGCUCGCGACCAUGCCCUGGAGAUGCUAUGAUGGUCCUGCAGCCUCCACUACUGGCUGUUGGGCGUGGUCGAAGCCCGACCCAGCCCCCCUCGUUGCGUGCUACUCGCCAUCGUUAUCAAGAGUUGUUGACAACAUCAGCCUCAGCCCCACUGUUGCCAACAACAAUCCUCCCCCAUCGCCACAGACUAAGAGGAAUGAAGCCUGGUUGGCCACGCUAGUGCACGCAGAGCCAAGCCAGGGUUUGAGGCGUGCCAAAGCCAAGGCCACGUCGGCUUCUCACACGGCCGAGAUCCUCAUCUACCACUCUGUGCGGCUCCUGGGGCUCGUCUCGCUCCGCUGGGUCUUCCAGCGCCACCCGCGACCGUCUCCCGUAGCUAGGGUUUUCCCCGGCGUGGUUCGGCGACUCAGGUGCGUCCCUCUACUCCAUCUCCUCCUCCUCACAUCCCUCCCUCACUUCCUCACCUCAUGUUCUCUCCCUCCCAGAUCCAGGAUGCCAUGGGCGGAUGGCCUCUUCCUCCCCUGCCCCGACGCCAUGAAGUUGCUAGACCUGGCCGUUGGCCGCGAGCCCAGCCACCUCCUUGCGGCCGCAUCGUCUGGAUCUGGCCGACUCUCUAGCCCGGCCGCAUCAUCGGGGUCUGGCCCGCGAGGAUCCAGGCCGCUCACCCCCGCUCCCGUCUGUCGCCGCUCCGGAUCCGCGCCACCCGCGCUCCUCGACCUCGAGCUUCGCCCCCGCCCGUCUGUUGCCGCUCCGAGGCGGCGACACAGCUGGCCUGAGCCCGAGCAAGAGCAGCAACUCAUCUCGCCCAAGCCGUUGGCCGUGAGCCCAGCCACCUCCUCGUCCUGGAAAGUAGAUAUUGUUGGCUAUCUCUCACGUGAUACUGGAAGACUUUACCUGCAUCCUACUGAUAUUCCCAGCUCGUGGACCAGCUUUGCUCUGAGAAUGUCGCUGCAAAAACCAAAACAAAACUUGCUCUGA